GGAAAAGGAAAUCCCCGCAAGUAUUGCGACUACCAUCAAGCGUCGGGACAUGAGACGAACGAUUGUGCCAGUUUAAAAGAGUUCAUUGAGAGAAAGGUACAAGGUGGAGCUUUAGUUCAAUAUGUUGCUGCCCGAACUCAUCAGCAGCAGGACCGAGUACCUGUCCCGGCGGCUCAACCUAAUCAGCCAGCGUUGCCAGCUCCGGAUCAGCCACCAAGGCAUGUGAUAGAUGUCAUCACUGGGGGUACUUCUGGCAAGCUCGUUGGAAAAAAGCGCCGAAGCUAUUUGGAUUCGGUCAUGUCGGUGGCGGGUACCUUCCCGAAGACUGAUAGACCUUAUCCGAAUACGGUAAUCUCUUUCACUGAUGAAGAUUACCCUUCGGAAAUUAUCGAACCUCAUGAAGGAUCAUUGGUGCUUACUGCACAAGUG
RNAcentral lists this long non-coding RNA (429 nucleotides) under Panax ginseng (ginseng). Its description in RNAcentral is "long non-coding RNA (PGIN_LNC009896)". Lineage: Eukaryota; Viridiplantae; Streptophyta; Magnoliopsida; Apiales; Araliaceae. The record is from RNAcentral.